RNAcentral lists this ribosomal RNA (490 nucleotides) under uncultured bacterium. Its description in RNAcentral is "partial 16S ribosomal RNA". It matches the Rfam family "Bacterial small subunit ribosomal RNA", at positions 30 to 507 of the family's 1533-position model. The record is from RNAcentral.
AUUGAACGCUGGCGGCAGGCCUAACACAUGCAAGUCGAACGGUAACAGGAAGACGCUUGCUUCUUUGCUGACGAGUGGCGGACGGGUGAGUAAUGUCUGGGAAACUGCCUGAUGGAGGGGGAUAACUACUGGAAACGGUAGCUAAUACCGCAUAACGUCGCAAGACCAAAAAGCGGGACCUUCGGGCCUCUUGCCAUCGGCUGUGCCCAGAUGGGAUUAGCUAGUAGGUGGGGUAACGGCUCACCUAGGCGACGAUCCGUAGCUGGUCUGAGAGGGUGACCAGCCACACUGGAACUGAGACACGGUCCAGACUCCUACGGGAGGCAGCAGUGGGGAAUCUUGCACAAUGGGCGCAAGCCUGAUGCAGCAAUGCCGCGUGUAUGAAGAAGGCCUUCGGGUUGUAAAGUACUUUCAGCGGGGAGGAAGGGAGUAAUGUUAAUACCUUUGCGCAUUGACGUUACCCGCAGAAGAAGCACCGGCUAACUCCGUG